Molecule: non-coding RNA, 3239 nt
Organism: Trichonephila inaurata madagascariensis
Lineage: Eukaryota; Metazoa; Arthropoda; Arachnida; Araneae; Nephilidae
Source: the annotation of a GenBank genome assembly
AAGCGACCUCGGAUCAGACGAGAGAACCCGCUGAACUUAAGCAUAUCAGUAAGCGGGGGAAAAAAAACACAGUGAUUGUGGCGGCGGGGCAAAGGGGGGAAGAGCCCAGCGCCGAACCCCCGCGUCGCGAAAAAUGGGGCCCCUUGGCGUAUGGGGCGUCGCGCCCGAACCGGGGGCAGGCAAGUCCCCUCGAGGGGCCUUUUGCCGUGGGGGGCAAGACCCGUGCCCUCCGCGCCCCGGAUGGGAAGGACGACUCCGGGGGUCGGGUUCCCGGGGAUUGCCCCAAGAGGGGAGGAGCCCCCCCAACAAAACGACCGCGAGACCGUAAAACAAGUACCGUGGGGGAAAGUUGAAAAGAAUUUUGAAGAGGGGUUCAAAAAAAGGAAAUUUCGGGGGGAAACGGGGGGGCCUCAAGUCCUCGACUGGGGGGGUUUCGUGGUGCCGCCGACGCAUUUCCGCUCCGGAGGGGGGAAUGGGCCGGCGGAGGCGACCCCGGUCGGGGGGCGUAUCCGGGGGUCCUUUUGGGUACCCCCGAUUUCCCCCUUUUCGAUGGAAACCCUCCCGCGUUCGAGGGGGAAGCGUCCCCCGGGGGCGUCGGUUCCGUCUCGGGCCGGUCGUGGGCGUGGACGCGCCAUUUUUAGGGGUGGCUGGCGGUUCCGUGUGCGGCUCCCGGGUUUUCCGGGCGUCUCUCGAUGCUUUCCCGGGGCUCGCCCCGCGACGAGUAGGUCGGUCCCCACCCGACCCGUCUUGAAACACGGACCAGAGUCUUACUGGGGGGAGUCAAGGGGAAAUAACCCCAACGGCGUAGCGAAAGGAAGAUCGCGACCCCCCUUGGCUUUAUAGUCGACGGGCGCAGCGACCCCUUUUCUAGCCCAAAGGAGGAAGGAGCGGGGGCACCUGGUAGGACCCGAUAGGUGGUGAACUUUUUUCUCGGGGCAAACGAAGGCCAGGAAACUGGGCUAGGGUCGAAGCGGUUCUGACGUGCAAAUCGAUCGCCAGACCCAGUAUAGGGGCGAAGACCAAUCGAACCACCUGGUAGCUUUCCCUCGAAAUUUUCCCCUCAGGAUAGCUGUCGCUCAUUUAUGGCCAGUCUCGUUCCCGUAGAGAAUGAUUAGAGGCUUCGGGGACCCCCGUGCACUCGACCUUUCUCAAACUACGAAGGGACGUGAAAUCGGUUCUCUCCCGAUCGGAAAACCGAAGUGCGGAUGGGAUGACGUGUGGGCCUUUUUUGGGAAAAGCAGAACUGGCGCUGCGGGAUGAACCGAACCCCGGGCUAAGGCGCCCUAUGCGGGACGCUCAGAGCCCCCAUAAAGGUGUCGGUUGCAGGAAAAAAGGGGACGGUGGCCACAAAGUCGGCCCCCCCGGGGGUGUGUAACAACUCACCUGCCUAAAAACCCGGUCCUGAAAAGGGAUGGCGCUCCAGCGUGUACCCCCCCGGCCCGGUGCCCUAAUUCAGUUUUUGGGGGUCACCAGUAGGAGGGUCGCGUCGGUGGGCGUAGAAGGUCACGGGGGAGUCGGACGGGAGCCCCCGGGGGGGAGAUCUUGGUGGUAGUAGCAAAUUUUCCCAGUGAGCCUGGAAGACUGAAGCACGGAAAAGGGUUUUUCUGUGAACAGCAGUUGAACAUGGGGGGGUCGGUCCGGGGGUCUUACGCCAAUGCGUAUAUUUAAAUCUUUCAUUAAAUUGGGGCGAAAGAUAAAGACCGAAGGGAAAAGGGUUAAUAUUCCUUUACCCGGACACGGAGAUCUCGGCCUCGGGUCGUGUGCGGAACCACCGAACUCGGCGACGUCGUCGGAGGACCCGGAAAGGUUGACUUUUCUUCGUAAGACGGCUUUCCCCGAAUCUCGCCCGGGGGGAAAAAAAGGAGUGCCGUCGAAGAGCACGGUCGCGCCCCCCUGUCCGGUGCGCCUCCGCCCCCCUUGAAAAAGAGGGGGUGUUUUUUCGCCGGCCCGUACCCAUAUCGCAGCAGGUCCCCAAGGUGAACACCUCUAGUCUCUAGAACAAUGAAAGGAAAGGGAAGUGGCAAGUUGACCCCUAACCUCGGAAAAAAAGGUUGGCUUUUGUGUCUCGGUCUCGGGACUUCCAAAUUAUUUCUGAAGCUCCUAUCGUGAGGGGGACGGUCCUCGAAUCGGACUCCGUAUCAGGGGGGGUGGAGGUGGAAGGUCCUUCUCCCUUCUAGGAGGGUUCGGGGGCCCGGAGGACGAGCAUGGCGAAAAGCGGCACGGCCCCGGGGGAACCGACUGUCUAAUUAAAACAAAGCAUUGCGACGGCCGGAGAGCGGUUUUGACGCAAUGUGAUUUCGCCCAGUGCUCUGAAUGUCAAAGUGAAAAAUUCACCAAGCGCGGGUAAACGGGGGGAAUAACUAUGAUUUUCUUAAGGUAGCCAAACGCCUCGUCAUCUAAUUAGUGACGCGCAUGAAUGGAUUAACGAGUUUCCCACGUCCCUAUCUACUACCGGAAACCGCAGCCAAGGGAACGGAUUUGGGGGAAAAAUUCAUCGGGGAAAAGAAGACCCUUUCGAGCUUGACUCUAGUCUGACUUUGUUCUAAGGCAUUAUUGGGGUCUGGUGGGAACUCCCCCCGGGGGAGGAGAGGGAAAUACCACUACUUUGAUCCCCGGGACUCAUUCGGUGAUGUUCAAAUUUUUUCCAAGUGAAAAAAUUUUUUUUCAAUCUUUUUGAAGCGUCCCCUAAUUGGGGCGAUGCGGGGAACCCCAGCAGUGUCAGGCGGCGGUUUGUCUGGGGCGGAACAUCGUAAAUGGCCCAGGUGUCCAAGGCCCGCCGGGCCGGGACAAAACCUCGAGAAAAGGGGGGCAAAAGCCGGCUUGCUCCUUCUUCACGGAAAGGGGGACCUGGAAACAGGGGCCCACGCCCCCUUUUUUUCGCUGUGAGAGUCUCAGGGGAGAGGUGUGGAAAAGUUACCGGGGGGGAUAACUGGCUUUGGCGGCCAAGCGUUCAUAGCGACUCGCUUAUUGUUUCUUCGAUGUCGGUUUUAUCAUUGGAAGCGAAUUCGCAAAGCGUUGGAUUGUUCCCCCACUAACAGGGAACGUGAGCUGGGUUUAAGUCGUGAGACAGGUUAGACCCUCAGAAGACGGGUCGUCGCUACGGUCAAACUUGCCCAGUACGAGGGAACCGUAGGUUGGGACAUUUGGUACUGCGCCGGUGGUGCCGCGGUGCGAAGCUACCAUCCGGUAGGAGAACGGCUAAACCCCUCCCCGGAAGCCUCCCCUGAUGGUGGGAUAAU